This 400-nucleotide ribosomal RNA is filed under the name uncultured bacterium. RNAcentral describes it as "bacterial SSU rRNA". It matches the Rfam family "Bacterial small subunit ribosomal RNA", at positions 355 to 772 of the family's 1533-position model. The record is from RNAcentral.
UAGGGAAUAUUAGUAAUGGGCGAAAGCCUGAACUAGCGACACCGCGUGUGCGAAGAAGGCCUUCGGGUUGUAAAGCACUUUUAGAGAGGAUGAGGAAGGACGGUACUCUCUGAAUAAGUCUCGGCUAACUACGUGCCAGCAGCCGCGGUAACACGUAGGAGGCAAACGUUAUCCGGAUUUACUGGGCGUAAAGCGCGUGUAGGUGGUUCUGUAAGUAGGGCGUGAAAGCUCCCGGCUCAACUGGGAGAGGCCGUUCUAAACUGCAGAGCUAGAGGAUGGUAGAGGGAGGUGGAAUUCCGGGUGUAGCGGUGGAAUGCGCAGAUAUCCGGAGGAACACCAGUGGCGAAGGCGACCUCCUGGGCCACUCCUGACACUCAGACGCGAAAGCUAGGGUAGCAAA